This 492-nucleotide ribosomal RNA is filed under the name uncultured bacterium. Its description in RNAcentral is "partial 16S ribosomal RNA". It matches the Rfam family "Bacterial small subunit ribosomal RNA", at positions 29 to 507 of the family's 1533-position model. The record is from RNAcentral.
AGUGAACGCUGGCGGUAGGCCUAACACAUGCCAGUCGAACGGCAGCACAGUAAGAGCUUGCUCUUACGGGUGGCGAGUGGCGGACGGGUGAGGAAUACAUCGGAAUCUACUUUUUCGUGGGGGAUAACGUAGGGAAACUUACGCUAAUACCGCAUACGACCUACGGGUGAAAGCAGGGGAUCUUCGGACCUUGCGCGAUUGAAUGAGCCGAUGUUGGAUUAGCUAGUUGGCGGGGUAAAGGCCCACCAAGGCGACGAUCCGUAGCUGGUCUGAGAGGAUGAUCAGCCACACUGGAACUGAGACACGGUCCAGACUCCUACGGGAGGCAGCAGUGGGGAAUAUUGGACAAUGGGCGCAAGCCUGAUCCAGCCAUACCGCGUGGGUGAAGAAGGCCUUCGGGUUGUAAGGCCCUUUUGUUGGGAAAGAAAAGCAGCAGGUUAAUACCCCGCUGUUCUGACGGUACCCAAAGAAUAAGCACCGGCUAACUUCGUG